GACGAACGCUGGCGGCGUGCUUAACACAUGCAAGUCGAACGGAAAGGCCCUGCUUUUGUGGGGUGCUCGAGUGGCGAACGGGUGAGUAACACGUGAGUAACCUGCCCUUGACUUUGGGAUAACUUCAGGAAACUGGGGCUAAUACCGGAUAGGAGCUCCUGCUGCAUGGUGGGGGUUGGAAAGUUUCGGCGGUUGGGGAUGGACUCGCGGCUUAUCAGCUUGUUGGUGGGGUAGUGGCUUACCAAGGCUUUGACGGGUAGCCGGCCUGAGAGGGUGACCGGCCACAUUGGGACUGAGAUACGGCCCAGACUCCUACGGGAGGCAGCAGUGGGGAAUAUUGCACAAUGGGCGGAAGCCUGAUGCAGCAACGCCGCGUGCGGGAUGACGGCCUUCGGGUUGUAAACCGCUUUCGCCUGUGACGAAGCGUGAGUGACGGUAAUGGGUAAAGAAGCACCGGCUAACUACGUGCCAGCAGCCGCGGUGAUACGUAGGGUGCGAGCGUUGUCCGGAUUUAUUGGGCGUAAAGGGCUCGUAGGUGGUUGAUCGCGUCGGAAGUGUAAUCUUGGGGCUUAACCCUGAGCGUGCUUUCGAUACGGGUUGACUUGAGGAAGGUAGGGGAGAAUGGAAUUCCUGGUGGAGCGGUGGAAUGCGCAGAUAUCAGGAGGAACACCAGUGGCGAAGGCGGUUCUCUGGGCCUUUCCUGACGCUGAGGAGCGAAAGCGUGGGGAGCGAACAGGCUUAGAUACCCUGGUAGUCCACGCUGUAAACGGUGGGUACUAGGUGUGGGGUCCAUUCCACGGGUUCCGUGCCGUAGCUAACGCUUUAAGUACCCCGCCUGGGGAGUACGGCCGCAAGGCUAAAACUCAAAGGAAUUGACGGGGCCCCGCACAAGCGGCGGAGCAUGCGGAUUAAUUCGAUGCAACGCGUAGAACCUUACCUGGGUUUGACAUGGAUCGGGAGCGCUCAGAGAUGGGUGUGCCUCUUUUGGGGUCGGUUCACAGGUGGUGCAUGGCUGUCGUCAGCUCGUGUCGUGAGAUGUUGGGUUAAGUCCCGCAACGAGCGCAACCCUUGUUCACUGUUGUCAGCACGUUAUGGUGGGGACUCAGUGGAGACCGCCGGGGUCAACUCGGAGGAAGGUGGGGAUGACGUCAAGUCAUCAUGCCCCUUAUGUCCAGGGCCUCACGCAUGCUACAAUGGCUGGUACAGAGAGUGGCGAGCCUGUGAGGGUGAGCGAAUCUCGGAAAGCCGGUCUCAGUUCGGAUUGGGGUCUGCAACUCGACCUCAUGAAGUCGGAGUCGCUAGUAAUCGCAGAUCAGCAACGCUGCGGUGAAUACGUUCCCGGG
RNAcentral lists this ribosomal RNA (1343 nucleotides) under uncultured bacterium. RNAcentral's name for it is "16S ribosomal RNA". It matches the Rfam family "Bacterial small subunit ribosomal RNA", at positions 28 to 1378 of the family's 1533-position model. The record is from RNAcentral.